Molecule: ribosomal RNA, 253 nt
Filed under: uncultured bacterium
Lineage: Bacteria
Description: partial 16S ribosomal RNA
Rfam family: Bacterial small subunit ribosomal RNA
Source: RNAcentral
UACGUAGGCAGCGAGCGUUGUUCGGAGUUACUGGGCGUAAAGCGUGCGUAGGCGGUGUCUUAAGUUUGUUGUGAAAUCUCCCGGCUUAACCGGGAGGGUGCGGCGAAUACUGAGAUGCUGGAGUGCCAGAGAGGUAAGCGGAAUUCCUGGUGUAGCGGUGAAAUGCGUAGAUAUCAGGAGGAACACCUGCGGUGUAGACGGCUUACUGGACGGUAACUGACGCUGAGGCACGAAAGCGUGGGUAGCAAACAGG